AUUGAACGCUGGCGGCAUGCUUUACACAUGCAAGUCGAACGGUAACACGCUUACGGGUUCUUCCGAGUGGCGAACGGGUGCGUAAUGCAUCGGAAUGCACCCAGAUGUGGUUUUUCACGGAGCGAAACCUGUGCUAAUACCCCAUGUUAUCUGAGGCUGACAGCGGGUGACCACGCAGCAAUGUUUGGCCUUGCGCCUUUGGAUCGGCCGAUGUCGGAUUAGGUAGUUGGUGGGGUAAAGGCCUACCAAGCCGACGAUCUGUAGCUGGUCUGAGAGGACGACCAGCCACACUGGAACUGAGACACGGCCCAGACUCCUACGGGAGGCAGCAGUGGGGAAUAUUGGACAAUGGGCGCAAGCCUGAUCCAGCAAUGCCGCGUGGGGGAAGAAGGCCUUCGGGUUGUAAAGCGCUUUUGUAGGGAAAGAAAAGGAUCUGGCUAAUACCUGGGGCUGAUGACGGUACCGAAAGAAUAAGCACCGGCUAACUACGUG
Molecule: ribosomal RNA, 492 nt
Filed under: uncultured bacterium
Lineage: Bacteria
Description: partial 16S ribosomal RNA
Rfam family: Bacterial small subunit ribosomal RNA
Source: RNAcentral